CUUUACGGCCAUGCCACCCUGAACAAGCCCGAUCCCAUCUGAUCUUGGAAGCUAAGCAGGGUCAGGCCUGGUUAGUACUUGGAUGGGAGACCACCUAAGAAGACCAGGUACUGUAGGCG
This 119-nucleotide ribosomal RNA is filed under the name Pteropus alecto (black flying fox). RNAcentral also lists the same sequence under 1 other name. Lineage: Eukaryota; Metazoa; Chordata; Mammalia; Chiroptera; Pteropodidae. The record is from RNAcentral.